This is a long non-coding RNA of Astatotilapia calliptera (eastern happy), 1511 nucleotides long. Lineage: Eukaryota; Metazoa; Chordata; Actinopteri; Cichliformes; Cichlidae. The record is from Ensembl.
GCGCUCUCUGUGGGUCUCACUGUUUUGAGUGUGUGAGGCGCGCUCUGAGUGUGUUUCUGUGGGGGAAGCGUGAAACACAGUGACAGUGACGGUUGAUGUGUUUGAAUAGGAGGACACUAGUGCGAAGAGGAUGCUUUAAGAUCUAAGGUUGACGCCUAGUGUACCUGUGGAAAAUAAUUUUGUCCUAGGAGUGGCAACCCUCCUGUUCGUGGACGCGCGGGCAGGCCCGGCGGCGUCCGGAUGCCGAGGUGGUGACUUGGGGAGGUGAGGACCCCCGCAUAGCUACAGAAUAACACUGGAACGACCGUGUAAUCACGGGUUCACAUUUAUUCUGGAAUAGAACAAGAGAAUGCUUUUACAUCUAAGGUUGAGUUCUAUCAUAGGUGAAAUAUAAAAAGGUUGAAUUCCUCGUUUCAGUGGUUGAAAUUGUUGUGUGCAUGUCCCCUGACGAGUGUGAAAUUAAAUAAAGAGGGAAUUUGGAGCCACAUAGAGAUAGACGGGCAUAAUUGGGUGUAUUACUCUGUGGUGUAAUAAAAAAAAUAAAAAAAUAAAAAAGAGAGAUAGUAAGAGGUGUGUAGUGGGGAAUUAUGGAGGAGUAGAGAGAGGAAUGUGUUGGGAGACUGGCGUGCAGUUUACGUUGUCAAGGUAGGCGUGUUGCCUGCUUAUCUGUCUAACAGUGAUGAAAAUGAAAUUAAAUAAAUCUCUUAGUGUGUUAAUACAGGAAGCUGCGGACCUGGACCAACUGCCCCCACAAGCACAGCGGCCGAAGCAAAAUUAUAAGUAAUGGGAGCCACACCCAGUAAGAAUCAGCAGCUGUGAAAAAGACAGCAGCGAGGAGAGAAUUAGAGGAGAAAUUAAGAGAAGUUUUAACACAUAAAAUUGGGGCCAACGGACUUGUGGAGGUUGGGAAGGCGUCCGGAGCAUCACAACAAAAAGGUGAAACAAAAACAUACACAAGCAGAGAAAUCUGAGAGAAAGGCUCCUUUUAAGGUAACGCCUAGUUUGAGAAAAAGAUCAAAUUAACCUGCCUGCCUACAAAUGCACACACACGCAAUGAAGAAACAGCUUACACUCAUGAACAUGUGAAGAUUUUCCAGCAAGGCUAAAGCAGCGAAACUUAACAUACACCUGUUGUUAAAGGAUAAAUACAUUACUGACAAAUAAACUCUCUGGGUUGCAGGACAACAAUUUAACUUCAAAGAAAAAGACACUGGUCUGACCAACCAGUGAAGACACGACAAAUUUAGGGGUUAAAAGAUUCAAAUUGUGACAUGUUUUCUGCUGAUUGAUUAAUACAAGUGAUUACUGAAUGAAAGAAAAGUCCAUUUUUGGGCUUUUAAACAUGAUCUUAAGAAUUUUAAUAUGUACCUGUGUUGUCCUGUCAGCUUGGCGGGUCAUGAGUUGAUUAUAGGGUGAGAAAAAAAAAAAAAAAAAAAGGGGGAGAGAAGGCUGACACAGGGCCUGGUCCCGGUGUUUCUCCCCUCUCUUUGUAAUACAGCCAACACAACAUC